Molecule: ribosomal RNA, 523 nt
Filed under: uncultured bacterium
Lineage: Bacteria
Description: bacterial SSU rRNA
Rfam family: Bacterial small subunit ribosomal RNA
Source: RNAcentral
AGAGUUUGAUCAUGGCUCAGGAUGAACGCUAGCGGCAGGCUUAAUACAUGCAAGUCGAGGGGCAGCGGGGGUAGCAAUACUCGCCGGCGACCGGCAAACGGGUGCGGAACACGUACGCAACCUUCCCAAAACUGGUGAAUAGCCCUCCGAAAGGAGGAUUAAUACACCGUAACAUAAUUUGAUGGCAUCAUUAGAUUAUUAUAGCUCCGGCGGUUUUGGAUGGGCGUGCGCCUGAUUAGGUAGUUGGUAGGGUAACGGCCUACCAAGUCAACGAUCAGUAACUGGUGUGAGAGCACGACCAGUCACACGGGCACUGAGACACGGGCCCGACUCCUACGGGAGGCAGCAGUAAGGAAUAUUGGUCAAUGGACGCAAGUCUGAACCAGCCAUGCCGCGUGCAGGAUGAAGGCCCUCUGGGUUGUAAACUGCUUUUAUGGGGGACGAAAAAAGGGGAUUCUUCCUCACUUGACGGUACCCUAGGAAUAAGCACCGGCUAACUCCGUGCCAGCAGCCGCGGUAAUAC